RNAcentral lists this ribosomal RNA (252 nucleotides) under uncultured bacterium. Its description in RNAcentral is "partial 16S ribosomal RNA". It matches the Rfam family "Bacterial small subunit ribosomal RNA", at positions 524 to 776 of the family's 1533-position model. The record is from RNAcentral.
UACGUAGGUGGCGAGCGUUAUCCGGAAUGAUUGGGCGUAAAGGGUGCGUAGGUGGUUUCUUAAGUCAGAGGUGAAAGGCUACGGCUCAACCGUAGUAAGCCUUUGAAACUGGGAAACUUGAGUGCAGGAGAGGAGAGUGGAAUUCCUAGUGUAGCGGUGAAAUGCGUAGAUAUUAGGAGGAACACCAGUUGCGAAGGCGGCUCUCUGGACUGUAACUGACACUGAGGCACGAAAGCGUGGGGAGCAAACAGG